GGGCUUAAUUCCAGCUACCAAAAUAUCUCUGUUUAUCUGAUUGAAAAAUCAAUCCUUUACGAUUAUCCAGCAAGUGUCUCACAGUCAGUCCCCGACGACGCUUUCAAGAGCUUCACUUUCAGUUCCUUCCUAGCGGAUAGGUUUCCAUAUUACCAGCCGUUAAUUAUUCAUCUGUGCUAUCUUGGCAUCGCAGUUGGAAAAUAAAGCAAAUCCUUUGGACCAGUGGCACAGAAUAGCACGCUGACCCCUCCGCUGAACCCUGGUGCAUUGUCCAUUGGUCUCCCACUGUUGGGGGAAGAGAUUGUCUUACCCUCCGGAUUUGCCCCAGAGAGCACAACAAACCAGCUUGUGCCGCUUGCUGUGGACUCGAACUCCGGUCUACCCAUGAGAGGAUAAAUGACAGAGAAACACGGACCAGUUCACCCACCAUCAAUGGAGAAAACUCCCAUCUUGGAUUCCAGAAAGUCAAACAGGGUGCUCGGUCCAGAUGGCCUCCCCCCUCCUCCCUCCUCCUCGUCUUCAUUUCUGGACCGGCCUCUUCCCCUUCCUCUGGCUGGAAGACAAACCCCAAAAUAAAAUAAUUCUGAGCGAAUUAGAACAGUUUGAUCAAUGAUACCGGAUGUCUGCAUGUGUGCACCCUCUGGCCCCGGGUGUCUGCAGCUAAACUAUGUGUAUCUAAUGUUUUAUCUUUCCACUUUCCACACAAUUCUGUGGUUACAACUUCCAUGGUGGCUCACGCUUUGUGGAGCACGUUGUGCUUCCACCUGGAAUUAAAUGUGCUAUAAAUAAUUUGCUUGCUUGCUUGUGUGUGUUAGUUUAAACCUGAAUCCAACUGAAUAAGACAUUGUACCUUUGCUUGAUUUGAGGAGUAAUAGAGGGACACAUACUGUGUCCAGGUCUUACGAGAUUACAUGAAUUUGAAAAGGUUAAUGUUCUGGACUGGACUCGAGAGGAUCUGAACGACAAUAAAAGCUUUAAAAACUGUCCAUCUUUGCAGUUAUUGCUAUUGGUAUUUCAGUGUGAAGGAAUACUUUUCAAGUUGCUGCAGGUUCACUGUCAGUGCUGAAACAAAUUUAUAACACUGCCUGCGGGUAACGCAGAAAAUUAAUCUGUAACCCCACAAUG
Scophthalmus maximus (turbot) is the source of this 1125-nucleotide long non-coding RNA. RefSeq lists it as uncharacterized. The transcript has 3 exons. The record is from RefSeq and is a predicted model, not a curated record. Lineage: Eukaryota; Metazoa; Chordata; Actinopteri; Pleuronectiformes; Scophthalmidae.